UAGUCUGGUGCCAGCAGCCGCGGUAAUUCCAGCUCCAAUAGCGUAUAUUUAAGUUGUUGCAGUUAAAAAGCUCGUAGUUGGAUUUCGGGUAGGGGGCGCCGGUCCGCUUCGGUGUGCACUGGCGGCCCAUACCUUCUUGUCGGGGAUGCGCUCUGGUAUUGGUUUAUCGGACGCAGAGUCGGCGCUGUUACUUUGAAAAAAUUAGAGUGUUCAAAGCAGGCUUUCGCUUGAAUACAUUAGCAUGGAAUAACAUGAUAGGACUUCGAUCCCAUUGUGUUGGUCUUCGGGACUGAAGUAAUGAUUAAGAGGGACAGUUGGGGGCAUUCGUAUUACAUUGCAAGAGGUGAAAUUCUUGGAUUUAUGUAAGACGAACUUCUGCGAAAGCAUUUGCCAAGGAUGUUUUCAUUAAUCAAGAACGAAGGUUGGGGGCUCGAAGAUGAUUAGAUACCAUCGUAGUCUCAACCAUAAACGAUGCCGACUAGGGAUUAGCGGAUGUUACUUGAUGACUUCGCUAGCACCUUGUGAGAAAUCAAAGUCUUUGGGUUCCGGGGGGAGUAUGGUCGCAAGGCUGAAACUUAAAGGAAUUGACGGAAGGGCACCACCAUGGCGUGGAGCCUGCGGCUUAAUUUGACUCAACACGGGGAAACUUACCAGGUCCGGACACAGCGAUGAUUGACAGAUUGAGAGCUCUUUCUUGAUUCUGUGGGUGGUGGUGCAUGGCCGUUCUU
RNAcentral lists this ribosomal RNA (728 nucleotides) under uncultured eukaryote. Its description in RNAcentral is "SSU rRNA". It matches the Rfam family "Eukaryotic small subunit ribosomal RNA", at positions 557 to 1295 of the family's 1831-position model. The record is from RNAcentral.